Macaca fascicularis (crab-eating macaque) is the source of this 1606-nucleotide long non-coding RNA. Lineage: Eukaryota; Metazoa; Chordata; Mammalia; Primates; Cercopithecidae. The record is from Ensembl.
ACCAUCACCUUCAGGCCUCACAAAGUGUGGUUGGGAUGCUGUCUCACGGGGCUUUGAGACUUGGCUAAGUCCUGAAAGGGCUUAGAGGGACAUCCUUAGUUUGCUCUUCCAGUAACAACAUAGAAAGACACCUAAGUAUGAGUCCUUGGUCUUCUUUGCCAGAUCUGGAUCCACUUUUUAAGGGUGUGCUAAGGGCAGCGCUAAGACCACUUGGAGCUAAGCCCAGUGGACCUCUGUAGGGCUUUGAUGUCACACUGGUUUGACCCAGCAAAGCUCCACAAUGGAUUUGUCACUAUAUCACUCAGAUCUUGAAGAAGUCACUUUAUCUCAUCUACAAAGGGACCCCAGAAACCAGUGCUGAGGGAGUGUGCUCACCUGUCCACCUCCUACCUGGGUUUCAAGGGCAAACACAGCCUUGAGGCAGUGCUGCUUAAUCCCACCUGAACCUUAGUGUCACCUGGGAGCCUUUUAGAGGUGCUGAUGCUGGACACCGCCCCUCUAAGAUCCUGAAUUAGUGGGUGGGCUGAGGCAGGGCUGUCUGGGAGCGGGGCGUUCAGCCCUCCAAAGCCAGGGUUGUGAACCACUGCUUUAGGCUGCAAGCCUGAAAUUUAUUUGACGUCUUGUGUUUUAUCUUAAUCAAUAAAUUCGCAUUUUCCUAACAAAAUCCGUAUUUAAUAUUAAACUGUCUUCAGUUAACUCACCACACACAUUUUCAGGAGUAAAAUCAAUGCACAAGAUGUUUAUUACAUAUAUCACAUAGCUCCUGGAGAUUUUGCUUUAGUUUGAGGCAGGUAAGCUCUUUAAGAACAAGGCAUGCUCUCACAGUCUACAAAGCUGUGAAGACGUGACAGGAGAGGAAAUUGUCCAGCUUCGCAAUGGACCAUUUUCCUUGGGCUUUCCUUGGGCUUUUGGAUACUGCUUUUUCAUUUGAAUCAGUGCCUGGGUGUGGGCUCAGGUUUUUCAGGGGCUUCAUAGGCUACAUAGUUGCAGUUGCCUCUGGAGACAUAAAUGAAAGAGGAACAAAAAGUUCAGUGCUUAAAUAACAGUCUGUUUUGACCAGGAAAAAAGACACAGAUGGAGGAAAACCCUGAAGGUACAGCAGGGAUCCCGAGGCCCAACGCAGGGCGAGAAUCUUCUCCGCCUCCCCAGUCCUCAGACCUGCGGGCUUCUGUUGCUCCCACUUAGAUGCCUCUCUUGUCUUUUUAUUUCAUUCCAGAAAGAAUUCCAUAUAUUAUAUUUGACUCUUCUGCCAAUCCUAUGAAGUUGGACAGCUACCCGAUUUUACAGAUGAGGGGAAGGGGGCUGAGCAGGGCUGCCAGAACUGGGAACCAGGAGGCCCUGAUGCCAGAAUAACAACUGGGGAGGCUGAGCCCACACGGGCCCAUUUGGUUUGAACAACCUCCAGGUUCCAACCCGGAACCCACCUCUUCACAGAAUGCUUUCAGCAUUUAAAGCUCUCUAAAUUGGCCAGGUGCGGUGGCUCACGCCUAUAAUCCCAGCACUUUGGGAGGCCGAGGUGGAUGGAUCACUUCAGGCCAGGAGUUCAAGACCAGCCUGGCCAACAUGGUGAAACCCAUCACUACUAAAAAAUACAAAAAAAAAAAAA